This 1425-nucleotide long non-coding RNA is filed under the name Betta splendens (Siamese fighting fish). Its description in RNAcentral is "lncRNA (ENSBSLG00000017630.1)". Lineage: Eukaryota; Metazoa; Chordata; Actinopteri; Anabantiformes; Osphronemidae. The record is from RNAcentral.
AUGGAUGACAUCAAGCUGUACGCUAAGAAUGAGCGAGACAUCGACUCGCUGAUCCACACCACCAGGAUCUACAGCUCAGACAUCAGGAUGUCAUUCGGGCUUGAGAAAUGUGGGAGGAUGGUGACAAAGAGAGGCAAGGUAAUCCACACAGAAGGGGUCUCACUCCCAGAAGGAACAAUAGCAGACAUUGAGGACAAUUACAAGUACCUUGGAAUACCACAGGCAAACGGCAACCUUGAACAGGCAACAAGGAAUGCGGCAACAGCCAAAUACCUCGAACGAGUAAGGCAAGUCCUAAGUAGCCAGCUCAAUGGCAAGAACAAAUCCCGGGCAAUAAACAGCUACGCCCUGCCAGUGAUCAGAUACCCUGCGGGAAUAAUAAGGUGGCCAAAGGAAGAGAUACAGACCACAGAUGUUAAGACACGAAAGCUCCUCACUAUGCAUGGAGGGUUCCACCCCAAAUCCAGCACCCUGAGACUGUACGCUAGCCGCAAGGAAGGAGGCCGAGGACUAGUGAGCGUGAGAGCCACUAUCCAGGAUGAAACAUCCAAGAUCCAUAAGUACAUCAAGGAUAAGGCCCCGACAGAUGACGUGCUGAGUGAAUGUCUCAGGCAGUGGAGAACAGAGGAUGAGAUGCUGGAAGAGGGACCAUCAUGGGAGGACAAGCCCUUACACGGGAUGUACCACCGGAACAUAACUGAAGUGGCUGAUCUCAACAAAUCCUACCAAUGGCUUGAACGGGCCGGGCUGAAGGACAGCACAGAGGCACUCAUCCUGGCUGCACAGGAGCAGGCCCUGAGCACCAGAGCCAUAGAGGCCCAGAUCUACCACACCAGACAAGACCCAAGGUGUAGACUGUGCAAAGAGGCCCCUGAGACGGUCCAGCACAUAACUGCAGGGUGUAAGAUGCUGGCAGGGAAAGCAUACAUGGAACGCCAUAACCAAGUGGCUGGCAUAGUAUACAGGAACAUCUGCGCAGAGUAUGGACUGGAAACCCCAAGGUCAAAGUGGGAAACACCUCCCAAGGUGGUAGAGAACGAGCAAGCCAAGAUCCUGUGGGACUUCCAGAUACGGACAGAAAGAAAGGUAAUGGCGAACCAACCAGACAUUGUGGUGGUGGACAAAGAACAGAGGAAAGCCAUAGUGGUGGAUGUGGCAAUACCAAGCGAUGGCAACAUCAGGAAAAAGGAACAUGAGAAACUAGAGAAAUACCAAGGGCUCAGAGAAGAACUGGAGAAGGCUUGGAAGGUGAAGGCCACAGUGGUGCCUGUGGUGAUUGGAGCACUAGGGGCAGUGACCCCCAAACUGGAGGAGUGGCUACAACAGAUCCCUGGAAAAACACCCGAAAUCUCAGUCAAGAAAAGUGCAGUCCUAGGAACAGCAAGGAUACUGCGCAGAACCCUCAAGCUCUCUGGGCUCUGGUAG